GUGUUCGAAAAAAUCUACUUUUUCGUGGGGGAUAACGUAGGGAAACUUACGCUAAUACCGCAUACGACCUACGGGUGAAAGCAGGGGAUCUUCGGACCUUGCGCGAUUGAAUGAGCCGAUGUCGGAUUAGCUAGUUGGCGGGGUAAAGGCCCACCAAGGCGACGAUCCGUAGCUGGUCUGAGAGGAUGAUCAGCCAAAAUGGAACUGAGACACGGUCCAGACUCCUACGGGAGGCAGCAGUGGGGAAUAUUGGACAAUGGGCGCAAGCCUGAUCCAGCCAUACCUCGUUUUUGAAGUAGGCCGUCGGCUUCUAAAG
This 316-nucleotide ribosomal RNA is filed under the name uncultured bacterium. RNAcentral's name for it is "partial 16S ribosomal RNA". It matches the Rfam family "Bacterial small subunit ribosomal RNA", at positions 115 to 430 of the family's 1533-position model. The record is from RNAcentral.